UACAGAGGGUGCGAGCGUUGUUCGGAAUUAUUGGGCGUAAAGGGCGCGUAGGCGGUGCGGUAAGUCACCUGUGAAAUCUCCUGGCUCAACUGGGAGCUUGCAGGCGAAACUGCCGUGCUGGAGUGUGGGAGAGGUGCGUGGAAUUCCCGGUGUAGCGGUGAAAUGCGUAGAUAUCAAGUGGAACACCAGUGGCGAAGGCGAGUCUCUGGACAUUUCCUGACGCUGAGGCACGAAAGCCAGGGGAGCAAACGGG
Molecule: ribosomal RNA, 253 nt
Filed under: uncultured bacterium
Lineage: Bacteria
Description: partial 16S ribosomal RNA
Rfam family: Bacterial small subunit ribosomal RNA
Source: RNAcentral